Molecule: RNA transcript, 1662 nt
Organism: Hirundo rustica (Barn swallow)
Lineage: Eukaryota; Metazoa; Chordata; Aves; Passeriformes; Hirundinidae
Gene: VRK1
Gene name: VRK serine/threonine kinase 1
Exons: 14
Source: RefSeq, a predicted model, not a curated record
UGGGGUGCAGUUGUUUGGAUUUUUUUUUUAGGAGGCGAGUUUUGGGGCACUCUUUCGCAUCCGCUUCGCCGUGCCGAGCGUCCCUGGGCCUUCUGAUGGAUUGCGGGCGGUUUCCCCCGCUUCACUCGCGGAGGAGGCCGGUGGUACCGCCGGGGCCGGCCCGUGCCUUGUUCCUUCCCAAGGGGAAAAUGCCAAAUAAGAAAACGGCUGGAAAAAGAGCCCCUGCAAAAAGAAAACUUGCUGAAGUGUUUGGUCUGGGGGAGGUUCUAGCAGAUACAUCAAGAAAAGAAUGGAAAUUAGGUGUCCCUAUAGGGCAGGGAGGCUUUGGGCGUCUAUACCUUGCUGAUGUUAAUUCUUCAAAGUCGGUUGGCAGUGAUGCCCCUUAUGUUGCAAAAGUGGAACCCAGCCAGAAUGGACCUCUUUUUACUGAGUUAAAGUUCUACAUGCGAGCUGCUAAGCCAGAUGAAAUUCAGAAGUGGACUAAGUCGCAUAAACUGAAAUAUUUAGGUGUACCAAGAUAUUGGGGUUCUGGCUUGCAUGAAAGAAAUGGAAACAGCUAUCGAUUUAUGAUAAUGGACCGAUUUGGCAGAGAUCUUCAGAAGAUGUAUGAAGAGAAUGCAAAGCAAUUUUCCCAUAAAACUGUACUACAAUUAGGCCUGAGAAUACUUGAUAUCCUGGAAUAUGUCCAUGAGCAUGAAUAUGUGCAUGGAGACAUCAAGGCCGCAAACCUCCUUCUGAGUUACAAGAACCCUAAUCAGGUGUACUUGGUGGAUUACGGACUUGCCUACCGAUACUGUCCUGAAGGAGUUCACAAAGUAUAUAAAGAAGAUCCUAAGAGGUGCCACGAUGGAACUAUUGAAUAUACCAGUAUUGAUGCACACAAGGGUGUGGCACCAUCGAGACGUGGUGAUCUGGAGAUCUUGGGUUACUGUAUGAUUCAUUGGCUUAGCGGCCAUCUACCAUGGGAAGAUAAUUUGAAAGAUCCAAAUUUUGUCAGAGACUCAAAAAUCAGAUGUAGAGAUAAUAUUUCCAUUUUGAUGGACAAAUGCUUUCCUGGGAAAAAUAAACCGGAUGAAAUAGCCAAGUAUAUGGAAAAGGUGAAGCUACUCAGCUAUGAGGAGAAACCUGUUUAUCAGCAUUUCCGAGAAGUACUUCUGCAAGGUCUCAAGGCCAUUGGACAAAAAGAUGAUGGUGUGCUUGACUUUGGCCUGGCAGAGAAUGGAGACUUUCAAAGAAAUCCCGUGCAAAAGAAAAGAAGAAAGGCAGCAGCUGCAUCCAGUGAGAGCACUGAGGCAGAAAUGGAAGAUAUAGGAAGUCCAAAAAAAAAGAAAGCUGCUACUUCUAGAUUGUAGAUUGAAAUUCUUAUAGAAGGAGAUGGAAAAGAACUUGAAGAAUUGCAAUCCAGAUGCAGUUGCUAGCAGAACCCAGAAGAUCACCUCACCAAAACCCAAGAAAAGCACAGCAACCAGAAAGAGAAUCCAGAAGUAAAUAAUAUAUGGAGCAACAAAUCAAGUUGCUCUGUGCUAAUUGGCUCAUUUCUGAUUUUUUUUUUCUUUUCUGUAGCACUGGAAUCUUUUUCUUUCCUUUUUAAAUUAUGAAUCCUGUAAAAACAUGGACUACAGUUUGUACCUGUUUUUGAAGAAUAAAUGUUUUAUUAAAAUA